This is a long non-coding RNA of Aedes aegypti (yellow fever mosquito), 141 nucleotides long. RefSeq lists it as uncharacterized. Lineage: Eukaryota; Metazoa; Arthropoda; Insecta; Diptera; Culicidae. The record is from RefSeq and is a predicted model, not a curated record. The transcript is spliced from 2 exons.
GGUAGAUAACUGUCAAAAUUAUUUACAAAUAAGAUUUAGCGGAGGAUGAAAAUUAUUACUGCCAAUUAGUUGGAAAGUUUUAUCAAUAAUUGUUUCCUUAUUGAAUUUUCGCCAACUGAAAAUGAAACUUCACUGGAAAAU